GCAUAUCAAUAAGCGGAGGAAAAGAAAACCAACAGGGAUUGCCCCUAGUAACGGCGAGUGAAGCGGCAAUAGCUCAAAUUUGAAAGCUGGCUUAUGGCCCCGCAUUGUAAUUUGUAGAGGAUGCUUUUUAGGCAGCCGCCGGUCUAAGUUCCUUGGAACAGGACGUCAUAGAGGGUGAGAAUCCCGUAUGUGACCGGCUCUGGCACCUUAUGUAAAGCUCCUUCGACGAGUCGAGUUGUUUGGGAAUGCAGCUCUAAAUGGGAGGUAAAUUUCUUCUAAAGCUAAAUACUGGCGAGAGACCGAUAGCGCACAAGUAGAGUGAUCGAAAGAUGAAAAGCACUUUGGAAAGAGAGUUAAAAAGCACGUGAAAUUGUUGAAAGGGAAGCGCUUGCAAUCAGACUUGGACUUGACUGUUCAACAGGUCUUCUGACCUGCCUAUUCAGUCUUGUCCAGGCCAGCAUCAGUUUCGGCGGCCGGAUAAAGGCCCUAGGAAUGUGGCUUUCCCUUCGGGGGAAGUGUUAUAGCCUAGGGUGUAAUACGGCCAGCUGGGACUGAGGUCCGCGCUUCGGCUAGGAUGCUGGCGUAAUGGUUGUAAGCGGCCCGUCUUGAAACACGGACCAAGGAGUCUAACAUCUAUGCGAGUGUUAGGGUGUCAAACCCUUACGCGUAAUGAAAGUGAACGGAGGUGAGAACCCGCAAGGGUGCAUCAUCGACCGAUCCUGAUGUCUUCGGAUGGAUUUGAGUAAGAGCAUAGCUGUUGGGACCCGAAAGAUGGUGAACUAUGCCUGAAUAGGGUGAAGCCAGAGGAAACUCUGGUGGAGGCUCGCAGCGGUUCUGACGUGCAAAUCGAUCGUCCAAUUUSGUAUAGGGGGCGAAAGACUAAUCGAACCAUCUAGUAGCUGGUUCCUGCCCGAAGUUUCCCCUCAGGAA
This 930-nucleotide ribosomal RNA is filed under the name Dothidea muelleri. Its description in RNAcentral is "LSU rRNA". It matches the Rfam family "Eukaryotic large subunit ribosomal RNA", at positions 38 to 979 of the family's 3401-position model. Lineage: Eukaryota; Fungi; Ascomycota; Dothideomycetes; Dothideales; Dothideaceae. The record is from RNAcentral.